RNAcentral lists this ribosomal RNA (1491 nucleotides) under Enterococcus hirae. RNAcentral describes it as "bacterial SSU rRNA". The record is from RNAcentral. Lineage: Bacteria; Bacillati; Bacillota; Bacilli; Lactobacillales; Enterococcaceae.
CACGAGGCGCUGCUAAAACAUGCAAGUCGAACGCUUCUUUUUCACCGGAGCUUGCUCCACCGGAAAAAGAGGAGUGGCGAACGGGUGAGUAACACGUGGGUAACCUGCCCAUCAGAAGGGGAUAACACUUGGAAACAGGUGCUAAUACCGUAUAACAAUCGAAACCGCAUGGUUUUGAUUUGAAAGGCGCUUUCGGGUGUCGCUGAUGGAUGGACCCGCGGUGCAUUAGCUAGUUGGUGAGGUAACGGCUCACCAAGGCGACGAUGCAUAGCCGACCUGAGAGGGUGAUCGGCCACAUUGGGACUGAGACACGGCCCAAACUCCUACGGGAGGCAGCAGUAGGGAAUCUUCGGCAAUGGACGAAAGUCUGACCGAGCAACGCCGCGUGAGUGAAGAAGGUUUUCGGAUCGUAAAACUCUGUUGUUAGAGAAGAACAAGGAUGAGAGUAACUGUUCAUCCCUUGACGGUAUCUAACCAGAAAGCCACGGCUAACUACGUGCCAGCAGCCGCGGUAAUACGUAGGUGGCAAGCGUUGUCCGGAUUUAUUGGGCGUAAAGCGAGCGCAGGCGGUUUCUUAAGUCUGAUGUGAAAGCCCCCGGCUCAACCGGGGAGGGUCAUUGGAAACUGGGAGACUUGAGUGCAGAAGAGGAGAGUGGAAUUCCAUGUGUAGCGGUGAAAUGCGUAGAUAUAUGGAGGAACACCAGUGGCGAAGGCGGCUCUCUGGUCUGUAACUGACGCUGAGGCUCGAAAGCGUGGGGAGCAAACAGGAUUAGAUACCCUGGUAGUCCACGCCGUAAACGAUGAGUGCUAAGUGUUGGAGGGUUUCCGCCCUUCAGUGCUGCAGCUAACGCAUUAAGCACUCCGCCUGGGGAGUACGACCGCAAGGUUGAAACUCAAAGGAAUUGACGGGGGCCCGCACAAGCGGUGGAGCAUGUGGUUUAAUUCGAAGCAACGCGAAGAACCUUACCAGGUCUUGACAUCCUUUGACCACUCUAGAGAUAGAGCUUCCCCUUCGGGGGCAAAGUGACAGGUGGUGCAUGGUUGUCGUCAGCUCGUGUCGUGAGAUGUUGGGUUAAGUCCCGCAACGAGCGCAACCCUUAUUGUUAGUUGCCAUCAUUUAGUUGGGCACUCUASCAAGACUGCCGGUGACAAACCGGAGGAAGGUGGGGAUGACGUCAAAUCAUCAUGCCCCUUAUGACCUGGGCUACACACGUGCUACAAUGGGAAGUACAACGAGUCGCAAAGUCGCGAGGCUAAGCUAAUCUCUUAAAGCUUCUCUCAGUUCGGAUUGUAGGCUGCAACUCGCCUACAUGAAGCCGGAAUCGCUAGUAAUCGCGGAUCAGCACGCCGCGGUGAAUACGUUCCCGGGCCUUGUACACACCGCCCGUCACACCACGAGAGUUUGUAACACCCGAAGUCGGUGAGGUAACCUUUUGGAGCCAGCCGCCUAAGGUGGGAUAGAUGAUUGGGGUGAAGUCGAACCAGGUACCA